UGCAGGCGCACUCUGUGUCACAUUGAAUUAUAUCCACAUGUGAUGACAAUUUGUUAACCUUGCAAAAGUAAAUUAAAAUCUCGAUUUAUCCAUGUGAUCGUGUCCUUGAGACUGAUCUCAUUGAAUUCGCGUCUUACACUCA
This is a small nucleolar RNA of Drosophila hydei, 142 nucleotides long. RefSeq annotates it as small nucleolar RNA psi18S-841/snoR66. Lineage: Eukaryota; Metazoa; Arthropoda; Insecta; Diptera; Drosophilidae. The transcript has a single exon. The record is from RefSeq and is a predicted model, not a curated record.